Non-coding RNA from Oryzias latipes (Japanese medaka), 2131 nucleotides. Lineage: Eukaryota; Metazoa; Chordata; Actinopteri; Beloniformes; Adrianichthyidae. The record is from RefSeq and is a predicted model, not a curated record.
UAAUUGUGGCAGGAUUAAUUGGCUCAGGUGCAGUGGGGAGGAUAAUGACAGGCAGUGGCCUCAUGGGGCGCUAUAAAAGGCCAAGAAACCCUCACUUGGUCAUGGGCAGCAUUUGGAAGCGCCCACUUCCUGUUGCACAUCUUCGGUUCACAGAGUUGCAGAGUCAUCACACUGAGAGAUUCCAUGCCGCAAAUAGCGUCAGUUAGCCGCUUCCUCAGGAUUUCAGCCAGUUGCUGAGCAGCUGUUUUUGUUACUGUUGUGGCCUGACGUUGAAGCUCAAUGUGGAGCAUUCUCAUCAUGGGAAUGACCUUUGACCCAGAGACCCUUGCAGCUUGGUCAAAAGGAGCAAGAACCCUGAGCAUCUCUUCAAUGAUCUGACAUUCUUCUGGAGUCAGUGGAGUGACGUCAGGUUUUAAUGAGGCCAGUGACACCCAGACUGCCUCCUUCUGCUCAGUCAUUCUCUCAAACAUUUGGUAGGUACUGUUCCAUCGUGUUGGCACCUCGUUUAUUCAUUUAUGGCCCGAUGUUCCCAGCUGUUGCUGUAUUUGAGUGAGCUUCUCUUUAGCAGUCAUGCUCGAUCGAAAGUAUGUCACAAUGUGUCGUGUUUUGUUGUGUAUUUCAGUUAUUGUUGGUAUUUGAUCACAUGAUUUUCUCACGAUUAAAUUCAGGGAAUGGGCUAUACAAAUGGUAUGCCGUAUUUGCAGCAUUCCAGCACAUGCAGUCAUGUUUGCUGCUGCAUCAGUGACAAGACACCUGACCUUUCCUGCUAUGCCCAUCGCUAACUUUCGUUUGGCUGUCUCUUUCUUUCACUUCUUUUGCAUGUUUAAUUACAUUGAGAUUUUGGCUUGAAUCACACCUCUUGCAGUUGUUCCAACUUUAGCUGCAGCACAACUUCACUCAGCCGGUCCUGUAGUUCCUCCAACUCCAUCUUUGUCUUUGUCUUCCUGAUCUCCGCUCUUCAACAGCACAGCUGAUCCCACUUCUGACACCAGUUUUAGUUGCAUACUUGACAGGAUGACCAGGAAGAAAGUGGAUUUUUUUUUUUUUUAUUUUUUUUUUUUAAGUUAACCUUUAGUAACCAGCUAGAACACAAACAGCACACAGUCAACUUCUGUCUGUGUCUCAUUGAACAGGCUCAGUAUGCCGCUCUUCUGGCCUGCUCAGUAAAGGGAAUCUUCUCUUUUGUGGUGAGACAGAAGAACCGCUGUACUCUGUUCAGUAAGCUGAGUGCUGUUUUAUGACCAUGAGUAUCAUUGAGUUACAAAAAAGAAAACAUUCAGAAAAACAUGGAGGUAUGUGACAAAUGUAUUAACAUUUAUUGCUUCCCCUUACAUCUGCUCUAACCACAGCUGCAUUUCCUCUGCACUUCUCAAUAGAAUUUAGUGUAAACUGUGUAUGCAGAAACUUAUUUUAUUUGAAGUAAAUCUAUUUUUUAAAUAAUUUAUAGAAUCUGUCCAGAGAAUUCUGACACUUCUUGAGUUUAGCAUUCACCCCCACUAGAGGGCGCCACAUCUCCCUCUCAUUGUUGAACUAUCUGCAGAUAAAGUAGCUGUGUCUGGAUGAGGCAUGUUGUUCACAUGCAGACUUGUAAAACAUGAAUGAGGGACGACCCAUCUGUCUGUAUCUGUCCGCUUCAGGCCUGUCAGGUCACCUCGCCAUGUUUCUGCCACGUCUGGAACGGAUGAAGAUAAAAGUCUGGAUUUUAGCUCCCUGCAUCCAAACAGCUGCAGUUUUUAGGUCCUCCAGCUUAUAAAACCUGAAGUUUGUCCACUAAAACUGGCUCCUCUAAAUGUCUUUUAAGUCCGAAAGGAUUUCAGAAAUCCAUCGUUUUCCAUUUAUUGAGUUUAUCACAGUAAAAGUUUGACUAACAAAUACAGACAUUAAUCACAGUCAUGAAAUGACAUUUCUAAAACACCAAACUGUUAAACAAUGCGGUGUCCAGCUGCAGCUACUGAGCAUGACAGGGCAGCUGUGGGUCACAGCGCCCCCAUCAGGAGAGGACUGUCAAUGCAAGCUGUAGAUUCAGACCCAUUUUCAUUCCAAACCUUUUUUUUUUUUACUAGUGACAUGGACACAUGCCACAGUUUUUACCCCUUUAUAGUUCAGGGGUCUCCCACCUUUAAUGCUAAAU